UACGAAGGGGGCUAGCGUUGCUCGGAAUUACUGGGCGUAAAGCGCACGUAGGCGGCUUGUUAAGUCGGAGGUGAAAUCCUGGAGCUCAACUCCAGAACUGCCUUCGGUACUGGCGAGCUCGAGUCCGGGAGAGGUGAGUGGAACUGCGAGUGUAGAGGUGAAAUUCGUAGAUAUUCGCAAGAACACCAGUGGCGAAGGCGGCUCACUGGCCCGGUACUGACGCUGAGGUGCGAAAGCGUGGGGAGCAAACAGG
RNAcentral lists this ribosomal RNA (253 nucleotides) under uncultured bacterium. RNAcentral describes it as "partial 16S ribosomal RNA". It matches the Rfam family "Bacterial small subunit ribosomal RNA", at positions 524 to 776 of the family's 1533-position model. The record is from RNAcentral.